Molecule: ribosomal RNA, 492 nt
Filed under: uncultured bacterium
Lineage: Bacteria
Description: partial 16S ribosomal RNA
Rfam family: Bacterial small subunit ribosomal RNA
Source: RNAcentral
AGUGAACGCUGGCGGUAGGCCUAACACAUGCAAGUCGAACGGCAGCACAGUAAGAGCUUGCUCUUACGGGUGGCGAGUGGCGGACGGGUGAGGAAUACAUCGGAAUCUACUUUUUCGUGGGGGAUAACGUAGGGAAACUGACGCUAAUACCGCAUACGACCUACGGGUGAAAGCAGGGGAUAUUCGGACCUUGCGCGAUUGAAUGAGCCGAUGUCGGAUUAGCUAGUUGGCGGGGUAAAGGCCCACCAAGGCGACGAUCCGUAGCUGGUCUGAGAGGAUGAUCAGCCACACUGGAACUGAGACACGGUCCAGACUCCUACGGGAGGCAGCAGUGGGGAAUAUUGGACAAUGGGCGAAAGCCUGAUCCAGCCAUACCGCGUGGGUGAAGAAGGCCUUCGGGUUGUAAAGCCCUUUUGUUGGGAAAGAAAAGCAGCAGGUUAAUACCCCGCUGUUCUGACGGUACCCAAAGAAUAAGCACCGGCUAACUUCGUG